This 237-nucleotide ribosomal RNA is filed under the name uncultured bacterium. RNAcentral describes it as "partial 16S ribosomal RNA". It matches the Rfam family "Bacterial small subunit ribosomal RNA", at positions 15 to 245 of the family's 1533-position model. The record is from RNAcentral.
GAUCAUGGCUCAGGAUGAACGCUAGCUACAGGCUUAACACAUGCAAGUCGAGGGGGCAUCAUGCUUAUAGCAAUAUAAGUGAUGGCGACCGGCGCACGGGUGAGUAACACGUAUCCAACCUGCCGAUAACUCGGGGAUAGCCUUUCGAAAGAAAGAUUAAUACCCGAUGGCAUAAUAGAACCGCAUGGUUUGAUUAUUAAAGAAUUUCGGUUAUCGAUGGGGAUGCGUUCCAUUAGG